This 432-nucleotide long non-coding RNA is filed under the name Vigna radiata. RNAcentral describes it as "long non-coding RNA (VRAD_LNC007059)". Lineage: Eukaryota; Viridiplantae; Streptophyta; Magnoliopsida; Fabales; Fabaceae. The record is from RNAcentral.
UGGGUUUCACAUGAUGUAGCACAUGUUAGGGAACAGAGAACACCUGCGCAAUAUGAAUAAUGGAAGUGGGGGGGGCGGGGAGAGAGAGGGAGUGUUAGGGUUUCCUUGUUCCUGGAUGAUGAUGGUAGGAGCUACUAGCUACCAAGCUGCAGAUAAAGGCCCUUCCCUUCUUGAUGGCGACACCAAGGGUCAAAUGAACAUGGCCUUUUGCUUCUCAUAAUAAUGAACAACCCAUACAACAAUUUUAGUAUUCUAAUUCUGGGUCCCAUGCACACACUAAUUUCUCAACUAAACACUCUUCAUUGUCAGCUUAUUACCUUCUAACACCUACCUAGCUAUCAUGUUUAAAUAUUCACAACAAUUUUGUUUCAUCACCACUCCAACACCAGAAAGCAAGCGAUCAAGCUCAUUUCGUGCUUUUGUCACUUCCAU